Molecule: non-coding RNA, 126 nt
Organism: Pseudonaja textilis
Lineage: Eukaryota; Metazoa; Chordata; Lepidosauria; Squamata; Elapidae
Source: RefSeq, a predicted model, not a curated record
UGAUUUAGUUAAUAUCUGAGUGGCCUAGUGUUUUUCCCUACUUUCUUCAAUUUAAGCCUAAAUUUUGCAACAAGAAGCUCAUGAUCUGAGCCAUAGUCAGCUCCUGGUCUUUUUGUACUGUUUUUG